AGUAUCAGGAACCAGCCUUAACAACAAAGUUAUUUGGGGUCGGCCAGGUUGGGACAGUCCAAGGGCCCCCUCCUUCAACAAACCAGUCCUCAGGCAUCCCCCCUUUAAGGACUUCCCUCUUGGCUACUCCUCCCACAGACUCCUCCCUCUGCUUAUUUAUGCCAGAAGCAGCAACCCCUUCGGGUCCUCACUGCUGUCUCCAGACCCAGACCCUCAUUUGGUCUUCAUGGCAGAGAAUGCUUCUGGCCCCGUGGGACAGACUUAGGAGAUUGUGAGACCAAGAUCAUGAGCAGGGGGGAGGGGGAAGGGGAGAAGCAGACUGCCCGCUGAGCAGGGAUCCCAAUACCGGACUCCAUACCAGAACCCUGGGAUCAUGACCCAAGCUGAAAG
RNAcentral lists this long non-coding RNA (390 nucleotides) under Mustela putorius furo (domestic ferret). RNAcentral's name for it is "lncRNA (ENSMPUG00000031358.1)". Lineage: Eukaryota; Metazoa; Chordata; Mammalia; Carnivora; Mustelidae. The record is from RNAcentral.